This 254-nucleotide ribosomal RNA is filed under the name uncultured bacterium. RNAcentral describes it as "partial 16S ribosomal RNA". It matches the Rfam family "Bacterial small subunit ribosomal RNA", at positions 524 to 776 of the family's 1533-position model. The record is from RNAcentral.
GACGAACCGUGCGAACGUUAUUCGGAAUCACUGGGCUUAAAGCGCGUGUAGGCGGGUCGGCGCGUCGGCCGUUGAAAUCCCCCGGCUCAACCGGGGAACGGGCGCCGAUACGGCCGGCCUGGAGGGGGGUAGGGGGAGCCGGAACUCACGGUGGAGCGGUGAAAUGCGUUGAGAUCGUGAGGAACGCCCGUGGCGAAAGCGGGCUCCUGGGCCCCGCCUGACGCUGAGACGCGAAAGCCAGGGGAGCGAACGGG